This 93-nucleotide transfer RNA is filed under the name Pseudomonadota bacterium. Its description in RNAcentral is "tRNA-Ser". It matches the Rfam family "tRNA". From Rfam's summary of the family: Transfer RNA (tRNA) molecules are approximately 80 nucleotides in length. Their secondary structure includes four short double-helical elements and three loops (D, anti-codon, and T loops). RNAcentral also lists the same sequence under 3 other names. Lineage: Bacteria; Pseudomonadati; Pseudomonadota. The record is from RNAcentral.
GGAAGGGUGACCGAGCUGGCCUAAGGUGAUCGCCUGCUAAGCGAUUGUGCGGGUAAAACCGCACCGUGGGUUCGAAUCCCACCCCUUCCGCCA